This 499-nucleotide ribosomal RNA is filed under the name uncultured bacterium. RNAcentral describes it as "bacterial SSU rRNA". It matches the Rfam family "Bacterial small subunit ribosomal RNA", at positions 24 to 518 of the family's 1533-position model. The record is from RNAcentral.
UCAGGACGAACGCUGGCGGCGUGCUUAACACAUGCAAGUCGAACGAGGAUUAUGUUGGAAGGGCUUCGGCCUGGAAGAUGUAAUUCGAGUGGCGGACGGGUGAGUAACGCGUGAACAAUCUGUCCCGGACAGGGGAAUAACACUUGGAAACAGGUGCUAAUACCGCAUAAGACCACGCCCUCGCAUGGGGGAGGGGUAAAAGGAGCAAUCCGGUUCGGGGUGAGUUCGCGUCCGAUUAGAUAGUUGGUGAGGUAACGGCCCACCAAGUCGACGAUCGGUAGCCGACCUGAGAGGGUGAUCGGCCACAUUGGAACUGAGAGACGGUCCAAACUCCUACGGGAGGCAGCAGUGGGGAAUAUUGGGCAAUGGGCGAAAGCCCUGACCCAGCAACGCCGCGUGAGUGAAGAAGGCUUUCGGGUUGUAAAGCUCUGUUAUAGGGGACGAAGGAAGUGACGGUACCCUAUAAGGAAGCCCCGGCUAACUACGUGCCAGCCGCAGC